RNAcentral lists this transfer RNA (76 nucleotides) under Verrucomicrobiota bacterium. RNAcentral's name for it is "Verrucomicrobia bacterium tRNA-Ile". It matches the Rfam family "tRNA". From Rfam's summary of the family: Transfer RNA (tRNA) molecules are approximately 80 nucleotides in length. Their secondary structure includes four short double-helical elements and three loops (D, anti-codon, and T loops). Lineage: Bacteria; Pseudomonadati; Verrucomicrobiota. The record is from RNAcentral. RNAcentral also lists the same sequence under 1 other name.
GGGCCUGUAGCUCAACGGUCAGAGCAGGGGACUCAUAAUCCCUUGGUUGCAGGUUCGAAUCCUGCCAGGCCCACCA